Molecule: non-coding RNA, 49 nt
Organism: Trichobilharzia regenti
Lineage: Eukaryota; Metazoa; Platyhelminthes; Trematoda; Strigeidida; Schistosomatidae
Source: Rfam
AUUCAGAUGACGAGUCCUAAAUAGGACGAAAUGUGCAUCCUGCCUGGAU